GCGGGGUGGGUCGCGGCCGCCAUGGUGCUCCUCGGCCACGGGCUACGAGGGCCGUCAGCUCCCAGGUGCCCGGCUGCUGAAUCGGGCCAUUUUAGGCAAAUCUCACUGAACCUUUCAGGAUUUCCAAAGAUCCGUGUGCCACCCCCACCUGUUGCAGAUACACAGGCUCGGGCAGUUACUGGCUCCCAAGAGCUAAGUGGCAUUAAUUCAUUCCCAGGUCUGUCUGGCAUUCAGAGGGCGCUCAUCAUACUCUCACUUCUCUGCUCCCAUCUUUGGGAAGGCGAGAGUUAGUGAGUGACUCAUAAAAAGUCAAGUUGGUGCACAUUCAGGUCCUGCCAGUCAAGAAACCCAUCUCUUAAUGAAUGCUCGUUUUACGAAGGCCUUGGAGUGAGUCCUCCCUGCUUAACAGGAUGGUACAAUAAUCCCACACCCCACAACCUAGAU
This is a long non-coding RNA of Myotis davidii, 444 nucleotides long. RefSeq lists it as uncharacterized. The record is from RefSeq and is a predicted model, not a curated record. Lineage: Eukaryota; Metazoa; Chordata; Mammalia; Chiroptera; Vespertilionidae. The transcript is spliced from 2 exons.